AUUGAACGCUGGCGGCAGGCCUAACACAUGCAAGUCGAACGAGUGGCGGACGGGUGAGUCAUGUCUGGGAAACUGCCUGAUGGAGGGGGAUAACUACUGGAAACGGUAGCUAAUACCGCAUACCAUCGGAUGUUCCCAGAUGGGAUUAGCUAGUAGGUGGGGUAAUGGCUCAACUAGGCGACGAUCCCUAGCAGGUCUGAGAGGGUGACCAGCCACACUGGAACUGAGACACGGUCCAGACGCCUACGGGAGGCAGCAGUGGUGAAUAUUGCACAAGGCGCGCAAGCCUGAUGCAGAAAUGCCGCGUGUAUGAAGAAGGCCUGCGGGUUGUAAAGUACUUUCAGCGGGGAGGCGUUACCCGCAGAAGAAGCACCGGCUAACUCCGUGCCAGCAGCCGCGGUAAUAC
This 406-nucleotide ribosomal RNA is filed under the name uncultured bacterium. Its description in RNAcentral is "partial 16S ribosomal RNA". It matches the Rfam family "Bacterial small subunit ribosomal RNA", at positions 30 to 526 of the family's 1533-position model. The record is from RNAcentral.